UCUCCGUCCUCGAGCCCCACGCCACUCUUCAUCCCUCUCCACGCCGUCCCACCUCCCCUACUCCUCAAUCCUCACGGCCUCUCCCACCGCCGCCUUCUCUCCCAGGCCUCCCCGACGCUCGAGGUGCAGCAGAGGGGGCACCACUAUGUUCUCAAUCCAGCUAGAUUGGGAUCGGGCGCAGGUCGCCGGCGUCCGACGCCGCGCGGUGUGAUUUGGGAUCGGGUGCCAAUCUCCACAAGGAGAUUAGGAGUGGAUGCUGCAGGGAGGGUAGGCAGCAGAGGAGCCCGUCCUGGUCGAGCCCCCACCCCGACGGGUGCCUGCAGAGGAGGAGAGGCCGAGGAUGGCUCCCAGUACAUGGAGGAGACGCCCAACACAGAUGAGGUAGUGGAGAAGGUUGUCCCCGGAGAGGCAGCAUGGUGGCCUGCACCGGUGCCUCUCCCAUCUAUGCGUCUACCGAGGAUGGAUGGCACCAUGUGGGUUAGGAGGCCGUCAUCGCCCCUUGCAGGCAUGAUUCGUCACCUCUGUCGCCCCCGCGUGCCGUGACUCAUUGGUCACUGUUGGGCUACUGCCGUAGUCCUGCUCCUUGAUGGAGCCUUCCUCCUUUGGCUACGUCUUCCUUCUCUGGCAACGCCUCUCUCGACUUCAGAGGUUCGUGGUUUUACAUUCAAAAAUAAAUAUGCACCUAAGAGAAGGUAGAGGAGUAUUGUUAAUAUCUGGAAUCUAAUUUAAUUGUGGUUCUAUACUGUUGUCAUAACUAAGGAUUGAUGGAUAUAGAAAAUAUAUGUGACCCUCUGUCCUCAGGUCCUUCACCAUCCACAAAUAAUCAGGUUCGACUACCUGCUUGGUCAGUUGUCUCUCUGUAGUAAACAAAAUUUUGCAAUUGAACAAGCUAAUUUUACAACUAAUAGUCCAUCAACUUUAAUCUUGGGCUUUUAAAAACUGCAGAAUACCCCACCGUUGGUCGAGGUCCCUUAUAGGACAAUACUUGAUUUUUUUUCUAAACAAUCUGGAGCUACCACAAGCUGAGUACCAUGCAGGAUAUGUGAGGGACAAACAACAGCAAGGAGAUCAUUGUUUGCCACAACACGAACCGCAACCACGGCAUUGAUGUCUUGUUUGCUACUAUGACUACUUUCACCUUAACAACAAAUAGCAAUCUAAUUCAAGGUGUCGUUCAAAAUGCAGGUAAGCAACUAAGGACGUGAGAAGGGCCUUCACACCGAUCUCAGACAAACAAACCUUUUGAAGCCAAUGAAGAAGCUACCAACCAUCUUCUGUUCCCAAACAAUCUUUUCUUCUCUCCACCUUAGCGUGUUCUAUGUUUCAUUGAUGUUCCUGUAAUAAAACAGAGUUGGUAUCAGACAUAUAUUUCCUAUAUUUAUGAUGAUCUUCCUUAUGUAUAUAAAAUUAUAUUCUAUAUAGCUCUUCAAUCAAAUGUGUUAUAUAGGAGAAAUGAUAUAAAGUCAGGCCUAUUUUCCCAAAUAACUAUUGCUCUUGUGCAGGGUGUCCUAGCGCAUGUCGUCUCGGUGGAAUAGCAGGGGUGGCAGGGUCACCACAGCGGGGUGGACAACAAGAAAGGGUGAGGAGGUUGGCAGUGGGUGAGAAGGAGCAGCAAAGUCGGACGUGGCAGGAAGGAGCGCUGAGGCCAUGGUGGAGGAUAGGCCAGCGAUGGGUGCAAGGAGCUACGUGAGCAAAGCUACAGGCGGUGCUCCGCCGCGAUAGGUUGGAGCUACGGGGAGGGGAAGGCGACCAAUGACAGAGAUCAGAAAGCAUGUCGUUGCGGGUGCUAGCAGCAGGGUAACAUAAACAAGAAGUGCAUUGAAGGUAGCGAAAGAAUUUCCAAUGUUCUGGAGUACACCAAUUGAUGAGAGCCUUUUGAAACUAUUGAAUAUCAGCAAGUUGAAUGAUGAAUAGUUUUCUAAUGAAGAAAAAAUUCAUGAUAUUGUUGGAUUACUUAUGAAUGGAAUUGAUUUUCAUAACCAGAGGAAGGCAAGUGCUACAUUGUCAAAUAUUGAUACUUCCUUUUCAUGCCAGAUCAGAGUCCUGAUUCCUUGCUGAACCAUUUGCUCUGGAUAUAUGUACCAUUUUCUAAUAUCUGACAGUUAUAUUGGUUGCACUAGCUUUUGGCAUAUAAUUUGAAGGGUAUUCGUCCCAUAUGAUCAGUUCUGCGGCUUGCACUCAUUUUACUGCCAUGAAUGGUGUAAGUCUCCCUCUCUCUCUCUCUCUCUCUCUCUCUCUCACACACACACACACACACACACACACACACACACACACACACUGUGUGUGUGUCAUUCUCUCUCAGAUUUGAAGGUAAGUUAUUAUUUCGUGUUAUCAAUCAUGGGGAUUUUAUGAUUUCUACUUAUUUCCGUGGUGGCCAAUUAAAAUCUGGCAAGGAGGUCGCUAUCCAUCUACUUCCAUAAUGUCGAACCUCCAACUGAUUUUUCUUUUCCAAUAGGAUAUGCAUUUGAUCCAGUCCAUGUCUUGGCCUCUUUUUGACGUGUGUAUACCAAUGUUCUUCUUGCAGGUAUUGUUCAAUCCGCCAGUAGCUAGCGGAUGUCAUGUUGUGAUUAAGGUUUGCCACCUUCCUCUACUAAAUCGGUUCGUUUUAUGUGACAUUCUUAGAAUACUAUGUGCUUACUCUGUUUGGCUAAAGCAUGGUGAAUCUGAUGUUGACCAACAUUAUUUGUGUUGCACAUUUACAACAAUAACUGUCAGACAAGAGAAUUGCUCACCAAUCCUUAGGUUCAGAAGCAUGUGUACCGAUUUUUUGUUAGGCAUCAACUUUUGUUUGCAUCAAAUUAGAACUUGGGCCUUGCCUUCAUCAAGUGUCUCUAAUGCUUACCAAUAUUCAAAAUAUAGAGAUCAACACUGAAGCAUUAGGCAUUGGUAUGUCAACUAAAUUGGUUCAGAAUAUAAUACUUACCCAACAUUCUUGGACAUAGUGGGUCGUAUUAUUGACCCAGUUGUCGACUUUUGACUAGGUGGAUGUGUGGAGAUAGAAAUGUUUUGCAUUUAUGGUGGCAAAGCUGGUUAGCAUCUAGAUAAAUGUCAAGAGAAAAUGAUAGUAAAAGGUCUUAAGGUUACACCUUGAGAUAUGCAGCCAUUGUGUUUCUUAUACCAGUCCAUUAUAUGAUGUUUUAUUAAUUUCUUUGUAUGGACUACAACUUUUGAAUAGCAUCUCCCAAUUCAUUACCUUCCGGUUUUUGAAUAUCUAUUGACGCCAACAGUCUAGCAUUCUCCAAAAACUUACAAUGAUCAGUAGUUCAUCUAUAAAUUAAAUGGGGGGUAUUUAUUAUUAUUUCAGAACUGUAAGAUUUUUUUUCUUGGAAUAUAUGGAUUAACCUAAGACUGGAUAUAAGAUUUUUUUCUCUUCUUUAAGAAGUGCCAUGUAUUACUUGUUUUCUGAAAUAAUUCCUUUUGUUUUCGCUUUUCACUAUCAUUGCUAUUUAUGCUUCUUUAGCAAUGGGAUCAGUCAUUUUGUGCUGCCUUUUAGCUAGAUGCUGAUCGCUAUUGGUCUCUUCAAUAGUGAGAUGGAGAUCAUAAAUGCAUCCUUGGUUUCCGUCUUCUUGAUAUCGUUGAUAAACUGUUGUUCAAUAUUUUAUCUUUGAGGGGUCUAUUGUUGCUUUGGCUUGGCUCUAAUUAUAUGUGAUGCGAUUUGUUUCUUUUGCUGGGCCCUAAUUCUUACCUACCUUUUCCCUUGGGCUUAUUCCCUGGUAUGAACAUCUUAUGUAUUCACCCAUUUGUGUAGAAUUGUGAUAUGUUAGCCAGGGUACUUUUGUAAUUAUUACAGUUUUACAAAUAGGAGAAGGGGAUAAGAGCUAUUGAAGAAAAUACACCGUGUUAUCACUCUUAAUUAAUUAAGUGAGAAUAUAGAACUGAACAGUUACUCCUUAACUCCUUAAAUACAAUUUUGUUUGGGUAAUUUGCAUCGCUAGAAGGAAGCGACUCAGAUCAUAUACUUUUCAUAUUACAUGGUUAGAGCCUUAUGUAUAAAAUAUUGUGCUUUCAACAUCUAUUCAUGGCAUUGCAUGCAUUCUAUCUGUGUGUACUUUUGAUUAUUAUAGGACUAAUAUUUUCAGAAAAUUAUGUAUAUAUGGUCAUGUCAGGACAAAAUAUUUGUUGUUGGCCAUGAACAACGGAUGCGUGAUGGGGACUGGUUUCAUAAAACUGAUAAAUGUGAACAUGUUCGUUGUUUGGACAUUACACCGCCAUAAUUCAAUAGUAUGGUAAGAUUCACAAGGCAAUAUAAAUAGUCAUAUAUGCUUAGUUUAUGUAUUUGCUGAUUCAGGUGCCCGCCAUCAAUGAAGACAAAGAAUACCAGGUAGCAAACGAACAAAAAUGAUCCUGACCUUUGAGGGCAAAAUAUAUUCUACAAAGAAUCUUUAUCAGCAAAGGGCAGAGAAGAUUGUCAAUGUCAACGACCAGUUAUUUUGUUCAGUAGGUGUUCCCUUCCAAUGAGGCUCCAGCCUGAGCAAGGGCAUGGUAGCAGAUAUCGACCGGUUGGUUGAUUUUGUGCACCCAUCCUGCAAAUUCAACGUAAAGCUUCAGAAAGUGUGUUCAUUGUCCUCUCCAUUUCAAACAAACUAUUAGCUGGUUCUUUAAUAUGAUUAUUACUUUUAUCAUACUGUAGAAUUUGUUUCUCGGUUAUCUAAAACUUAUAGCUAUUAAAGAAAGCCCUUGGUUUGUAUUUGGUAGUUGUGCCAUUUGGUGGAACUGUAUGAGAAAAUAGUGAGAGAAUGUUGGUAGAAAUUAUGAGUGAUGUAAUUACAUAGAGAGAAGUACUCACAUGUCACAUCAUAUUCCCCCAUGCUCAUCUUCAACUGCAACAACUGUUGAAGUUACUUUUAGUUCAA
Molecule: long non-coding RNA, 4856 nt
Organism: Triticum dicoccoides
Lineage: Eukaryota; Viridiplantae; Streptophyta; Magnoliopsida; Poales; Poaceae
Exons: 3
Source: RefSeq, a predicted model, not a curated record